This 494-nucleotide ribosomal RNA is filed under the name uncultured bacterium. RNAcentral describes it as "bacterial SSU rRNA". It matches the Rfam family "Bacterial small subunit ribosomal RNA", at positions 15 to 518 of the family's 1533-position model. The record is from RNAcentral.
GAUCCUGGCUUAGGAUGAACGCUGGCGGCGUGCCUAACACAUUCAAGUCGAACGGACCUUAAAGGGCUUGCUCUUUAAGGUUAGUGGCGGACGGGUGAGUAACGCGUGAGCAACCUGCCUCUGACAGCGGGAUAACAUUGGGAAACCGGUGCUAAUACCGCAUGACACACCGAGUUUGCAUGGACACGGUGUCAAAGAAGCGAUUCGGUCAGAGAUGGGCUCGCGUCUGAUUAGUUAGUUGGCGGGGUAACGGCCCACCAAGACGACGAUCAGUAGCCGGACUGAGAGGUCGAACGGCCACAUUGGAACUGAGAAACGGUCCAGACUCCUACGGGAGGCAGCAGUGGGGAAUAUUGGGCAAUGGGCGAAAGCCUGACCCAGCCGACGCCGCGUGGAGGAAGAAGGUCUUCGGAUUGUAAACUCCUGUCAACAGGGAAGAAGCAAGUGACGGUACCUGUAGAGGAAGCCACGGCUAACUACGUGCCAGCAGCAGC